RNAcentral lists this ribosomal RNA (253 nucleotides) under uncultured bacterium. Its description in RNAcentral is "partial 16S ribosomal RNA". It matches the Rfam family "Bacterial small subunit ribosomal RNA", at positions 524 to 776 of the family's 1533-position model. The record is from RNAcentral.
UACGUAGGGGGCGAGCGUUGUCCGGAAUUAUUGGGCGUAAAGAGCGUGUAGGCGGUUCGGUAAGUCUGCCGUGAAGACCUGAGGCUCAACCUCGGGCGUGCGGUGGAUACUGCCGGGCUAGAGGACGGUAGAGGCGAGUGGAAUUCCCGGUGUAGCGGUGAAAUGCGCAGAUAUCAGGAGGAACACCAAUUGCGAAGGCAGCUCGCUGGGACGUUACUGACGCUGAGACGCGAAAGCGUGGGGAGCAAACAGG